RNAcentral lists this non-coding RNA (782 nucleotides) under Coccidophilus cariba. The record is from RNAcentral. Lineage: Eukaryota; Metazoa; Arthropoda; Insecta; Coleoptera; Coccinellidae.
UAAAAUUUUAUUUUUUUAAUAAUAAUAAUAAUUUUAUUUUGGUUAAAAAAUUAUGUAUAAUUUAUAUUUAUAUGGGAAUUUUUGUAUUUUAAAUAAUAAAUUAUUCAGUAAAUAAUAUUAAAAAUUAAGUAAUUUUAGAUUUAGAUAUAAUUGUAAUUUAAACUAAAUUUGUGCCAGCAGUUGCGGUUAUACAAAUUAAGUAAUAUAAUUUUAUUAGUAAAAAUUAACUAAAUAAUGAUAAUUUAAAUUAAAAUUUAUAUUAUUAGGUGAAAUUUUUAAUAUAAUAUAUGAUUUAUAAUAUUUUUGUGAAGUUUAGAAAAUUUUUAAAAACUAGGAUUAGAUACCCUAUUAUAUUAUUGUAAAUUUAAAAACUAAAUUAGUAAAAGUUAAGUUCUAAAAAAUUAAAAAAUUUGGCGGUAUUUUAGUCUAUUCAGAGGAAUCUGCUCUUUAAUCGAUAAUCCACGAUAAAUUUAAUUUAUAUUAGAAAUUUAUAUAUCAUUGUAAAAGAAUAUUUUAAUAGAAAUUUAAUGUUCUUAAUUUGUUUUUAUAAAAAAAAUCAAAUCAAGGUGUAGUUUAUAUAUAAAGAGAAGUGGAUUACAAUUUAAAAUAUAAUUGGAUUAAAAUUUGAAAUUUAAUUUUAUAAAAAUGGAUUUGAUAGUAAUUUGAAAUAUUUAUUUUAAAUGAUUUAGCUCUAAAAUAUGCACAUAUUGCCCGUCGCUUUCAUUACAAAGUGGAAUAAGUCGUAACAAAGUAAGUGUACUGGAAAGUGUACUUAGAAGAAA